GGGGCCGUAGGGUAGUUUGGACCAUCCUCUCAACCCGGGGCGUUGGUGACUCGAGUUCAAAUCUCGGCGGCCCCACCA
RNAcentral lists this transfer RNA (78 nucleotides) under Thermococci archaeon. RNAcentral's name for it is "tRNA-Pro". RNAcentral also lists the same sequence under 2 other names. Lineage: Archaea; Methanobacteriati; Methanobacteriota; Thermococci. The record is from RNAcentral.